UGGGGAAUAUUGCACAAUGGAGGAAACUCUGAUGCAGCGAUGCCGCGUGAGGGAAGAAGGUUUUAGGAUUGUAAACCUCUGUCUUCAGGGACGAAAAAAGGACGGUACCUGAGGAGGAAGCUCCGGCUAACUACGUGCCAGCAGCCGCGGUAAUACGUAGGGAGCGAGCGUUGUCCGGAAUUACUGGGUGUAAAGGGAGCGUAGGCGGGAUCGCAAGUCAGAUGUGAAAACUAUGGGCUUAACCCAUAAACUGCAUUUGAAACUGUGGUUCUUGAGUGAAGUAGAGGUAAGCGGAAUUCCUAGUGUAGCGGUGAAAUGCGUAGAUAUUAGGAGGAACAUCAGUGGCGAAGGCGGCUUACUGGGCUUUAACUGACGCUGAGGCUCGAAAGCGUGGGGAGCAAACAGGAUUAGAUACCCUGGUAGUCCACGCCGUAAACGAUGAUUACUAGGCGUGGGGGGACUGACCCCUUCCGUGCCGCAGCAAACGCAAUAAGUAAUCCACCUGGGGAGUACGACCGCAAGGUUGAAACUCAAAGGAAUUGACGGGGGCCCGCACAAGCAGUGGAGUAUGUGGAUUAAUUCGAAGCAACGCGAAGAACCUUACCAGGUCUUGACAUCGUAUGCAUAGCUCAGAGAUGAGUGAAAUCUCUUCGGAGACAUAUAGACAGGUGGUGCAUGGUUGUCGUCAGCUCGUGUCGUGAGAUGUUGGGUUAAGUCCCGCAACGAGCGCAACCCUUACUGUUAGUUGCUACGCAAGAGCACUCUAGCAGGACUGCCGUUGACAAAACGGAGGAAGGUGGGGAUGACGUCAAAUCAUCAUGCCCCUUAUGACCUGGGCCUCACACGUACUACAAUGGCUGUAAACAGAGGGAAGCAAAGCCGCGAGGUAGAGCGAACCCCUAAAAGCAGUCUUAGUUCGGAUUGUAGGCUGCAACCCGCCUACAUGAAGUCGGAAUUGCUAGUAAUCGCAGAUCAGCAUGCUGCGGUGAAUACGUUCCC
This 999-nucleotide ribosomal RNA is filed under the name uncultured organism. Its description in RNAcentral is "bacterial SSU rRNA". It matches the Rfam family "Bacterial small subunit ribosomal RNA", at positions 355 to 1375 of the family's 1533-position model. The record is from RNAcentral.